Molecule: ribosomal RNA, 604 nt
Filed under: uncultured Lachnospiraceae bacterium
Lineage: Bacteria; Bacillati; Bacillota; Clostridia; Lachnospirales; Lachnospiraceae
Description: bacterial SSU rRNA
Rfam family: Bacterial small subunit ribosomal RNA
Source: RNAcentral
CUUAGUGGCGGACGGGUGAGUAACGCGUGGGUAACCUGCCUUAUACAGGGGGAUAACAGUCAGAAAUGACUGCUAAUACCGCAUAAGCGCACAGAGCUGCAUGGCUCAGUGUGAAAAGCCGAGACGGUAUAAGAUGGACCCGCGUCUGAUUAGCUGGUUGGUAAGGUAACGGCUUACCAAGGCGACGAUCAGUAGCCGGCCUGAGAGGGUGACCGGCCACAUUGGGACUGAGACACGGCCCAAACUCCUACGGGAGGCAGCAGUGGGGAAUAUUGCACAAUGGGCGAAAGCCUGAUGCAGCAACGCCGCGUGAAGGAUGAAGUAUUUCGGUAUGUAAACUUCUAUCAGCAGGGAAGAUAACGACGGUACCUGACUAAGAAGCCCCGGCUAACUACGUGCCAGCAGCCGCGGUAAUACGUAGGGGGCAAGCGUUAUCCGGAUUUACUGGGUGUAAAGGGAGCGCAGGCGGCAGCGCAAGUCAGAAGUGAAAGCCCGGGGCUUAACUCCGGGACUGCUUUUGAAACUGUGCGGCUAGAUUUCAGGAGAGGUAAGCGGAAUUCCUAGUGUAGCGGUGAAAUGCGUAGAUAUUAGGAGGAACACCAGU